This 91-nucleotide transfer RNA is filed under the name Agromyces sp. NDB4Y10. Its description in RNAcentral is "tRNA-Thr". Lineage: Bacteria; Bacillati; Actinomycetota; Actinomycetes; Micrococcales; Microbacteriaceae. The record is from RNAcentral.
GCUCGAUCUGGUCGACGGCCGGCACGACGCCGGUCUCGUCGAUGAGCCGCUGCAGGUGCGGUGCGAGGAAGUUCGAGACGCCGAUCGAGCG